Molecule: ribosomal RNA, 421 nt
Filed under: uncultured bacterium
Lineage: Bacteria
Description: bacterial SSU rRNA
Rfam family: Bacterial small subunit ribosomal RNA
Source: RNAcentral
UCGAGAAUCUUCGGCAAUGGGCGAAAGCCUGACCGAGCAAUGCCGCGUGCGGGAUGAAGGCCCUCGGGUUGUAAACCGCUGUCGUAGGGGAGAAAGGUCUCAUGAAGAAUGAGAUUUGAUCUAUCCUAGGAGGAAGUCCGGGCUAAGUUCGUGCCAGCAGCCGCGGUAACACGAACCGGACAAACGUUAUUCGGAAUUAUUGGGCUUAAAGGGUGCGUAGGCGGUGCGGUAAGUGAGGUGUGAAAGCCCUCGGCUCAACCGAGGAAUUGCGCUUCAUACUGCCGUGCUGGAGGGAGACAGUGGUAAGCGGAACUGAUGGUGGAGCGGUGAAAUGCGUUGAUAUCAUCAGGAACACCGGUGGCGAAAGCGGCUUACUGGGUCUCUUCUGACGCUGAGGCACGAAAGCUAGGGUAGCGAACGG